GAUGAACGCUAGCGGCAGGCUUAAUACAUGCAAGUCGUGGGGCAGCAGGACUGUAGCCAUACAGUUGCUGGCGACCGGCAAACGGGUGCGGAACACGUACGCAACUUACCCUGAACUGGGGGAUAGCCCGGGGAAACCCGGAUUAAUACCCCGUAAUAUAAUGGAGUGGCAUCACUUUAUUAUUAAAGCCCCGGCGGUUCGGGAUGGGCGUGCGGCUGAUUAGGUAGUUGGUUGAGGUAACGGCUCACCAAGCCUACGAUCAGUAACUGGUGUGAGAGCACGUCCAGUCACACGGGCAAUGAGCCACGGGCCAGACUCCUACGGGAGGAAGCAGAAAGGAAUAUAGAGAGAUGGAAGCGACUCUGACCCAGCCAUGCCGCGUGGAGGAUGAAGGCCCUCUGGGUUAUAAACUUCUUUUAGAGGAGACGAAGCCUGUGUAUUCUUACGCAGUUGACGGUACCCUAGGAAUAAGCACCGGCUAACUCCGUG
This 489-nucleotide ribosomal RNA is filed under the name uncultured bacterium. Its description in RNAcentral is "partial 16S ribosomal RNA". It matches the Rfam family "Bacterial small subunit ribosomal RNA", at positions 28 to 507 of the family's 1533-position model. The record is from RNAcentral.